CCUACGGGAGGCAGCAGUAGGGAAUUUUCCACAAUGGGCGAAAGCCUGAUGGAGCAAUACCGCGUGCAGGAUGAAGGCCUUCGGGUCGUAAACUGCUUUUAUGUGCGAAGAAUUUGACGGUAACACAUGAAUAAGGAUCGGCUAACUACGUGCCAGCAGCCGCGGUCAUACGUAGGAUCCAAGCGUUAUCCGGAAUUACUGGGCGUAAAGAGUUGCGUAGGUGGCAUUAUAAGUGGAGCGUGAAAGCGUGCGGCUCAACCGCAUUAUUGCGUUCCAAACUGUGAAGCUUGAGUAUGGGAGAGGUAGAUGGAAUUUCUAGUGUAGGAGUGAAAUCCGUAGAUAUUAGAAGGAACACCGAUGGCGUAGGCAGUCUACUGGCCCAUUACUGACACUAAGGCACGAAAGCGUGGGGAGCAAACGGGAUUAGAUACCCCGGUAGUCCACGCUGUAAACUAUGGAUGCUAGCUGUGACACACAUCGACCUGUGUCGUAGACGAGUAACGUACGUAAGUACGAUCCGCCGUCGGGAGGUACGGUCGGCGAGAAGUUAAACUACGUUAAAGAAGUAGUUAGGCGUGAGACGNGCGACGGACGACGACGAGGGAGGAGG
This 610-nucleotide ribosomal RNA is filed under the name uncultured bacterium. Its description in RNAcentral is "bacterial SSU rRNA". The stretch from base 1 to 522 matches the Rfam family "Bacterial small subunit ribosomal RNA", at positions 338 to 873 of the family's 1533-position model. The record is from RNAcentral.